This is a non-coding RNA of Rattus norvegicus (Norway rat), 5294 nucleotides long. The record is from RefSeq and is a predicted model, not a curated record. Lineage: Eukaryota; Metazoa; Chordata; Mammalia; Rodentia; Muridae.
GUCUUCAGACACAGCAGAAGAGGACAUCGGAUCUCAUUACAGAUGGUUGUGAGCCACCAUGUGGUUGCUGGGAUUUGAACUCAGGACCUCUGGGAGAGCAGUCAGUGCUCUUAACCCCUGAGCCAUCUCUCCAGCCCGAGAAAUCCUGUUUGAGGGGAGGUAGGGGGGUAGAAUUAAAAACAAAAGUACAAAGAAAAAGGGUCGGGUUCCACAGCAAUGAACAUGGUACCUCUCCCUCUCCCCUCUAGGGAAAAUGCCGAUUUUUAUUUGUUUGUUUGUUUGUUUAGGCAGGUUCUGUCUACAUAGCCCUGGCUGGCCUGAAACCAAAAUCCUCCUGCCUCUGUCUCACAGAGUUCUGGUGUUAGAGGUGUGUGUGCCUCCACACAAAGCCCUAGAGGAAGUGACUUUGAAACUAAGAUUGGGAGAAAAAGUGCAAGCUGGGGAGGGAAGAGCAGGGGCUGUGCUCUGUUGGUAGAAUGUUGACCUAGUGUGCACGCAGCCCUGGGCUUCGUACCCAGCGAGCCAUACACCAGGCUUGGUGGCCACGGAGGAUCUUUCCAAGUCACCUCAGUUUCACAAGGUAAAGAAAGGACAGGUCUGAAGAACCGCAGAGACAAAAGCCCAGAGGCCAAAGCGCUGUAAGUUCAGCCUGGCCACAGGGGAGGGUGUCAGAAGAGGGAAGGCUGAGUCACUUCCUGGUCCUCAGCUGACCAAGGGACUCAUACCCAGUCUUCCAUGCUCAAGGGUAAGGAAUUAGCUUGAAGAGAGGUGACGGAUAAUCAAGGAGGAUCGUCCCAGAGGAGGGGACCUACAUACAAGUAUCUCACGGAAGUCGGGUGUGUGGUAACACACUUUUAGUCUCGGCACUCGGGAGGCAGAGGCAGACAGAUCUCGGAGUCCAUGGCCAGCCUGGUCUACAGAGGGAGUUCCCAGACAGCCAGGCUACAGGAAGAAACCUUGUCUCAAAAAGCAAAAAGCAAGCAAGCAAACAAACAAACAAACAAAAAUCUCAGGACAAGGAAAAAGCUAAGGUGUUCCCUUUGGCCAGAGCCUGGUAGGGAGAGAGAGGGGAGGAGCCUUGGCUAGAAAUAGAGACCCAGGCCACAGCCUCCUAUGUCUUCCUGAGUGACUUUAGGGCUGUCAAUAGGGAGCUAUAGAAGGAUUUUAUACAGAGGAAUGUCCCACUCUUGGUUGGAACAUGGAAAAAACUUGCCCUAGGAUGUUCUUUUCUUUUCGGAGCUGGGGACCGAACCCAGGGCCUUGCGCUUGCUUGGCAAGCGCUCUACCACUGAGCUAAAUCCCCAACCCCUGCCCUAGGAUGUUCUUGAAGGUCCUGAAAGAGGACCCUAGGACUUCACAGGACCUCUGAGGAGGGAAGGGUGAGGGUGGAGUGUCUAUGAGGGCCAAGUUCAAUCAUCGGAAUUUUCUUUCCAAAACAAAACAAAGCAACCCCCCCCCCCUUUGAGAACCUGGCCCCCCUCCACACACAGCCGUAACAGGGAGAUUGGGAAACUCCUUUGUCAGAGGAACCUCAGAGAAAUGAAGUGGCAAGGCCAGCUGAGGUUUGGGGGGGGAGGGGCUUGUGGAGAGAGAAGAGAGUGAGAUUCCAUGAGACAAGUGAGUGUGUGGUCCUCACACCAGACCACUGCCAGACACAGGGGUCUGGUCUCAGCUCACUGCUGGAUCAAUGACUCAAGAGGUCUCCUCUCCCAGGACAUGGGCACUGAAAAGUUCAUCUCCUCAUGCACAGAGUGUGGUCCAUAGAGCUGAAGCGAAACGGCUCUAGCCACAGGCAAAUCGGUGGUAUGAUCAAGGUCAGUGGGGAAAACUAGGAUAAAGCAGUUCCCAUAUGCAAACCAACAAAGGGGUCCCGUUUGUUCCUUUGUUGUCUGUUUGACAGGCUCUCCUGUAUCCCAGGCUGGUCUGGAAUUUGCUGAGGAUCCAACCUAGGGAGGGUCUCAUGCUCAUUAGGCAAGCAUUCUACCACUGAGCUACAUCCCCAGUCCAGAUGUUUGCUUGGUUUUUCUUUUUGUUUUCUUUGCUGUUGUCUCUUUCAAAUAGGGUCUUUCUGUGUUGGUAGGCUUGCCUCAAACUCGCCGCCAGCCUCCUCCCUUCCAAGAGUUGGGAUUCUGGGAGCUUCAUGCAGCCUGUCAAUCAACCAAGUACAGUCAAGCAUACAGGUCCGGAGGGCGGGAUUCUUGUUCCGAGUGCGACGACGUGAGGGAGACAAGGGCUGUGGUCUCCCACUCCUGCAGUACUUUUAACUUUUAAGUUUGGGGUUGGGGGAAGAGGAGAGAUGUGUUAAAGGGGAUGAGUGGAUAGGCGUGGCUGCCUCUGGGACUUUCCUCAUUGAGAUCAGAGUCCCCGAAAUAGCUGCACUGGGUGAGAGGCUGGGUCACACCCUCUGUGUCUCCUGCUGCAGAGAGCGGUCCCACAAUAGUGCUGAUCCCCUCGGUUGUCAUUCCCGCCCCGCCCCCCGCCCCAGAGGCAGGAGCUGUUUGGCCCUGUCCCCUGAAGAUGCUGGGGCGUUCGUAGAAGCCUUCUGUCGCUUUGCCUCAUCAGGUCAACUGCUACAGAGGCGAGCUUCGUGAAGCUGUCCAUAACCGCCAAUCAGGAAGUAAAAACUCAUUCGGGCCAAGCCCCCGACAUGACGUCAGCCCGUAGUCCCAGAAACCACGCCUUGCCAAAGGAGGGCACUGGUGGGAUUAUGACUGUGGACUUCCUGAGGGUAAAAAGUUUCAUGUUAGUUAUGCAUAUCAUAAUUGCCCUUGGCUGGAGAGACGGCUCAGGGUUUUAGAGCACGCACUAAUCUUCCAAAGGACCUGAGUUCGAUUCCCAUCACCCACAACAGCACAUGCAAAUAUACUGCAUAGUUAACAAUAAUGACCAAACAUACACAUAAGUAAGAAUAAUAAUGAGAAUAGAGGGCUGGAGAGAGAUGGCUCAGUGGUUAAGAGCACUGGCUGCUCUUCCAAAGGACCUGAGUUCAAUUCCUAGCACACACAUAUUAGCUCACAACUAUCUGUUAAUCUCGGGGAUCUGUUGCCUUCCUCUGGCCCCCAAGGGUAUUAGACACACAUGUGGUGCAAAAUACCCAAACAAACAAAUUAAUUAAAUGAAAUUAAAACAAUUAAGUGCCCUAGGUCAGGGUGAGGUAUGAUGGUCCAUGCCUUUAAUCUGAGCACUCCGAGAGGCAUUGGCCUGGGGAUCUCUGAGUUCAAAACCAGGUUUGGACACAUAGGGAACUCCAGGCCAUCUAAGGCUAAGUAGUGAGAUCCUGUCUCAAAUAUAAAAUAAAAUGAAACAGCCCCAAGAAAUAUAGGCAAAGCAAAAAGGUUCCCAACAAUAUAUUUUCACCACAUGGGGGGGCAGGGGGAGAGUCCAGGGCACUGUGCAUGGUAAGUACAAGCCCUGAGCAUUAUCUUCUGACCUCUCUUUACUCUUUGUUUGUUUAAGAGUGGUUCUCGAGGGGUUGGGGAUUUAGCUCAGUGGUAGAGCGCUUGCCUAGGAAGCGCAAGGCCCUGGGUUCUGUCCCCAGUUCUGAAAAAAAGAACCAAAAAAAAAAAAAAAAAAAAAAAAAAAGAGUGGUUCUCGAUCUGUCACUCAGGUAGACCUUGAACUUGUGAUCUUCUUGCUUUAGUCUCCAGGUUCCUGGAAUGAUCAACCUGAAUCAUCAAGCCCAGCUCAGUGUGUACAUACGUAUGUGUGCACAGACAGGAAUGAGGGAACCAGAGGUUGAUACUGGAUGCCGUUCUCAGUCCCUCUCCACCUUAGUUUUUUUCCAAAUUUUUAUUUAUUUAUUUAUUUAUUUAUUUAUUGUAGGUGAGUACACUGUAGCUGUCUUCAGACACACCAGAAGGGAGCAUUGGACCCCAUUACAGAUGGUUGCGAGCCACCAUCUGUUGCUGGGAUUUGAACUCAGGACCUCUGGAAGAGCAGUCAGUGCUCUAACCACUGAGCAAUCUCUCCAGCCCCCAUCUUAGUUUUUGACACAGGCUCUCUCACUGAACCUGGCUAGUCCAGUUGGCCGUCAAGCCCCAGGGAUUCUGUGUCUACCUCCCCAGCCCUGGGAUUACAGGCACAUGACGUCACACUAGGCUGUUUUCCAUGGUUCUGGAAGACCUAGCUUCUAGUUUUACGCUUGUGUGACAAGCACUUCACUGACUUGAGUCAUCUACCCAGUCUUGGCCUUUUAUUUUUAUUUUGUUUGUUUGGACACAAGGUUGCACUGCAUAACCCAGUCUGACUUCAAAGUCUGAAUCCUGCUGUCUUAUGCCCCUGACCACUGGGAUACAGAAGUGGACCAUUGUAUUCACCCAUAACUUUUUAACAAGAAUAGACACUGGGGACCUAUAAUAGGAGGACCUUACAGGUGUCUUCCAGGGGGCUGGAGAGAUGGCUCAGUGAUUAAGAGCACUGACUGCUCUUCCAGAGGUCCUGAGUUCAAUUCCCAGCAACCACAUGGUGGCUCACAACCAUCUGUAAUGGAAUCUAAUGCCCUCUUCCGGUGUGUCUGAGGACAGCUACAGUGUACUUACAUAUAAUAAAUAAACAAAUCAGGGACUGUAAAUAGAUUUGCAUUAUACACAAAUCAUAUACAAAUACUAGGACUGAGGUUGUUAGCUCACUGGUGGCAGGCAUGUCUAGCAUGUACACGCCCCGGGGUUUCAUUCCCUGAACUUCAGAACAAUAUUUGUUCUAGGCUGAACAGUUGAUGGUGGGUGAGGAGGGUGGGUUAGUCAGAGGGAAGUUACAGUGGCCUGGCACAGUGGUUGUAAUGAGACAUGACUCAUGGAGUCCCUUCGGUUUCAAGAAACUGUUCUAGGCAGGCUUUCCGGGAUAAAUGCUGGUUAUCUGCCUUAGGAAAGUUAAUUAACCUCUCUGUGCUUUGGUGGAAUGCCUAAGAAUAUUCCGGAGGAUGGCUGUAAGGGUUAACAUGUGCAGGAUGCCGGAUAUGUGGACUUGGAGAUAAGUUCUGAGGUUAGGAUCUCGGGUGCCCCUGGCAGUGGUGGAUGCUGAAAGCUGAAUGCCCCAUUGGCUCAUCAAGAGUUCCUGCUCAGACAGUUCUUCACAGGAAGCCACAGGCCUCUUCUGCUUCAGCAACCUCCAGCUGCUGCUGGCCCAGGCCCCUUUCCAGGCCAGCCUAGUAACGCCCGGUUCUCAGCAUUUCCCUCUACCGCCUGCCAAGAAGCCUGUGCGAGCUGGGAACCGAACCCAGGGCCUUGCACUCACUAGGCAAGAGCUCUACCGCUGAGCUAAAUCCCCAACCCCCAAAAUAAAAUCUUAUAACUGGG